This 3054-nucleotide long non-coding RNA is filed under the name Sus scrofa (pig). RNAcentral describes it as "lncRNA (ENSSSCG00000052333.1)". The record is from RNAcentral. Lineage: Eukaryota; Metazoa; Chordata; Mammalia; Artiodactyla; Suidae.
UGUCUUCCCUUGUUUUGCUUCUUGGUAAUAACUUUAUAUGGUGUCCCUCUCUCAUACUGCCUUAGGUUACACAGAUCUUUUCAACCUAUGUCUUCCCCCUCUUCCUAUGUACUAUACUCAAAGCCUACUAUUUUUUCCCUUCACUGCCUGUAUUAACUUGUCCUCAGCUAGCUGUUAUUAUUCCCAAGAAUAGUUGCAUCUGGGUAGAGGAUUAAUAUUUAAAUAAAAUUAGUGAUAAAGUGAAGGUCAUAUGGGAGGAUGUGAAUGUAUGGGCAUAUGUACUCAUGAGAAGGGUCUUGCAGGCACUACUAAAAUUUACACAAAGACAGAUAUUCUAAUAAGGGAAGGCUGCUCUUAUAUCUAACCUACAGCAAUUUAAAAUAAAUUUGUCUUUACUCUAUGAUUUUGGAAGUUUCCUGUGGUCCAGUGGAUUAAAGAGCUGGUAUUGCUGCAGCUAUGGCACAAGUCACAAUUGUGGCAUGGUUUCAAUCCCUGGGCCAGGAACUUCUGCAUGCUGUGGGUGUGGCAAAAAAAAUUCCAGGAUUUUUAAAGGUUAAAAAUCUAGAGUUUAAUAAUAUUAAUAAACAGUAAUUUUUAAUUUAAUUUUUAAUUUUUUUCAUUUAUUUCUCUCCAUUGCUCAUUAGAAAUGUGGCAUGAAAAUUUCUUUCAUAUACUUGAUGAUCCUUAUUAAAUAAUCCUCUAAGUAACUAAUACAAAUGAAGUGCCAUAUCUUUCAUAAUACAAACAUAUGCAAACAAACUGAAGGUAACUUGAAUAAUUUUAUUUUCUUUAACAUAAUAAUGUUACCACUCUUCCCAAAGUCAGAAAAACUGCAGUACUCUGAUCUCUUUUCCUUAUACUGCAUCCCUAACCUGGACUACUCUAUCAGCCUUUUAACUAAUCUCGUGAUUCCAGUCUUUACUAUGUCUUUGCAUCCUUCAACCUGACAUCAGAUCUACAUUUCUAAAAUAUGUAUUAAAUUAUAUCAUUAUUUUCAUUUGAAACCCAUGAUGAUUUUCCACUGCUUUUGUCAUGCAGUCUAUUUUUCCUAGCAUAAGAUUCAUGACAUACUUUGCAACUUCAUUUUAAUAAAUUUGCUUUUUAAAAAAUGUAUAGUCUACUUGGGGAGACAGGUCAUAUGUACAGAUUAUAUGUAUAAAAUUAUAAACUUACAUAGCUAACAAUAAGUAAAAUUAAAUUUAUUUCUCCAAAUAUAUUUAGAAUCUGGUUCCUGCCUAGCUCCCUUAAAUAUCCUGUAACCUAGUUGUAGGUUAAAGAGGUAUAUACCAAGCUGAAAUAUAAAACAGAAUAUGAGAUGUACAAAAUUUUGUAAAAUCUUUCAAAGAAAAUAACUAUUAAUAACAAAAAUAGAAACAAAGUAAUCUUGGAAAUUAGAGCAUUUGAACUGGGCCUUAAGAAAUAAGGAGGGUUUUACAAAGGUUAAGAAAUAAGAAGGGUUUUACAAGGCAAAGAUGGCAGAAGAGAGAUAAGCCAUGGUAAGAGAUGACAUAGGCCUGCUAAGGUGGUGACAAUACAAAUAGAAAGGUGAGGGCAAAUGUGUGAUAUAUUUCUGGAGUAGAAUUAGGACUUUUAACUGAUACGAGUAAUGAAGGAGGAGGAGAUGCCAAAUCUGACAGAAAAUUCUGUCCUAACUUGGCUGCUUUCAUCAACCAAGAUGGGGUCAAAUCAAGAAGAGUGUUUAUUGAAGAAAUGAGUUGAGUUGGGGGUAUCUGUAAGAUAUACAAGUGAGAUCUAGUAGGAAGAUGAGAUUUUAGGUCUGCAGCAGUUAGAAAUCUAGGGAGAAUAGGUACUGUGAUGUAACCUUGAUGCUGCAUGAGCCUUGAGGCUGGGAGGGAGGAAAUCAAGGGAAAGAACAUGCUGCAAGAGGAGUAGAAAUGGCUCAAAGACUAACUCAUCUAAGUCCUCAAAUCCUUAAACCUCCAUCCUGUGUGUUUGGGACAAAGGAAAAGAGAGAGGAAAAAAAGAAGAAACUGAUGAAGAUGUUGAAUCCACAUGCAUCUUUGUCUGACUAUAGCCCCAAACAAAAUCAAAGUGAUUUCGUAGAUCACAUUUGUCUCUUCCCCCCACCUUUUGUCUCUAUUAAUACAUAAAAUCGUGAUUUAGUUCUACUAUAAUUAUUUGAUGCAGAAUAAUAGGUAUCACUAUAAUUUCCAGCUAUGAUAGUGACUCAGCCUACUUAUAGCUCUCAUUUUCUCUCAGAGAACAAACAACAUUUUCAAACACUAUAAAAUGUGAAUCUUGAGUACCAAUUCAAAACACAGUAAAUCAAGAGAGAAAUUCUGAUAUAAAUAAAAGCUGUGGGCGAUUUGCUGAGCUUCUGAAAGUCAUUCCUGUGAAUGCCAGGUUUAUUAUUGCACAUAUCUUUUAUAGCAUGCUAUGGGAAGAAACAUAAUGCCUCAGGCCCUACUCUUAAAAGCUUAGACCUAAAUUAAAUUGAAAAUGGCAAGAAACUUCUGUAAUAAAAGUAGAAACAGCACUCAAUUGAGAUUGUUCUUUGGUUCCAAAUGUUUAUGGCACUAGCUGCACUUUUGAAGUGACACUGAUCAAUGAGAGGAAGGUUAGUGCUACUAAAAUUUAUGGGGGAAAUACUUGAACAGACUUCAUAUGAGUGGAGGUGGAGGUUAUUUUGGUUAUCUUAUUUCUUAUAGCAUUCAUAAAUGGGUUUAAAGAGUUCUUGAAUGCUCUAAAAUGUUGUCUACAUUAUUAUUAGGAGGAAGUCCAUACCUCUUAAUCAUACUUUUAAGGAUAUGAAGAGCUAAAAUGAUCAAGAGAUAGUGUCUUAAAGAUUCUGUUGUGGAGUUCCUGUCAUGGCUCAGUGGUUAACAAAUCCAACUAGAAACCAUGAGGUUGCGGGUUUGGUCCCUGGCCUUACUCAGUGGGUUAAGGAUCUGGCGUUGCCAUGAGCUGUGGUGUAGGUUGCAGAUGUGGCUUGGAUCCUGCAUUGCUGUGGCUCUGGUGUAGGCCGUGGCUAUGGCUCCAAUUAGACCCCUAGUCUGGGAACCUCCAUAUGCCAUGGGAGUGGCCCAAGAAAUG